This 1350-nucleotide ribosomal RNA is filed under the name uncultured bacterium. Its description in RNAcentral is "partial 16S ribosomal RNA". It matches the Rfam family "Bacterial small subunit ribosomal RNA", at positions 28 to 1370 of the family's 1533-position model. The record is from RNAcentral.
GAUGAACGCUAGCGACAGGCUUAACACAUGCAAGUCGAGGGGCAGCGGGGUAGUGCUUGCACUACUGCCGGCGACCGGCGCACGGGUGAGUAACACGUAUGGAACCUGCCCGCAGCAGGGGGAUAAGCGGAAGAAAUUCCGUCUAAUACCGCGUAACAACGUUGGGAGGCAUCUCCCGAUGUUUAAAGAUUUAUCGGCUGCGGAUGGCCAUGCGGCGCAUUAGCUAGUCGGCGGGGUAACGGCCCACCGAGGCGACGAUGCGUAGGGGUUCUGAGAGGAAGGUCCCCCACACUGGUACUGAGACACGGACCAGACUCCUACGGGAGGCAGCAGUGAGGAAUAUUGGUCAAUGGCCGAGAGGCUGAACCAGCCAAGUCGCGUGAGGGAAGACGGCCCUACGGGUUGUAAACCUCUUUUGUCGGGGAGCAAAGCGAACCACGUGUGGUUCAUUGAGAGUACCCGAAGAAAAAGCAUCGGCUAACUCCGUGCCAGCAGCCGCGGUAAUACGGAGGAUGCGAGCGUUAUCCGGAUUUAUUGGGUUUAAAGGGUGCGCAGGCGGAGGUGCAAGUCAGCGGUCAAAUUGCGGGGCUCAACCCCGUACUGCCGUUGAAACUGCAUCCCUUGAGUGCGCGAGAAGUAUGCGGAAUGCGUGGUGUAGCGGUGAAAUGCAUAGAUAUCACGCAGAACUCCGAUUGCGAAGGCAGCAUACCGGCGCGCAACUGACGCUCAUGCACGAAAGCGUGGGUAUCGAACAGGAUUAGAUACCCUGGUAGUCCACGCAGUAAACGAUGAACACUAACUGUUCGGCCAGAAUGAUGGCUGAGUGGUACAGCGAAAGCGUUAAGUGUUCCACCUGGGGAGUACGCCGGCAACGGUGAAACUCAAAGGAAUUGACGGGGGCCCGCACAAGCGAAGGAACAUGUGGUUUAAUUCGAUGAUACGCGAGGAACCUUACCCGGGCUCAAACGACACAGGAAUACUUUUGAAAGGAGGUAGCCCUACGGGGUCUGUGUCGAGGUGCUGCAUGGUUGUCGUCAGCUCGUGCCGUGAGGUGUCGGCUUAAGUGCCAUAACGAGCGCAACCCCUAUCGCCAGUUACCAUCAAGUAAAGUUGGGGACUCUGGCGAGACUGCCGGCGCAAGCUGAGAGGAAGGCGGGGAUGACGUCAAAUCAGCACGGCCCUUACGUCCGGGGCGACACACGUGUUACAAUGGCAGGUACAGAGAGAAGCCAGGUGGCGACACCGCGCGGAACUCGAAAGCCUGUCUCAGUUCGGAUCGGAGUCUGCAACCCGACUCCGUGAAGCUGGAUUCGCUAGUAAUCGCGCAUCAGCCAUGGCGCGGUGAAUACG